RNAcentral lists this ribosomal RNA (253 nucleotides) under uncultured bacterium. Its description in RNAcentral is "partial 16S ribosomal RNA". It matches the Rfam family "Bacterial small subunit ribosomal RNA", at positions 524 to 776 of the family's 1533-position model. The record is from RNAcentral.
UACGUAGGGUGCAAGCGUUGUCCGGAAUUAUUGGGCGUAAAGAGCUCGUAGGCGGUUUGUCGCGUCUGCUGUGAAAACUCGGGACUUAACUCCGGGCCUGCAGUGGGUACGGGCAGACUAGAGUGCGGUAGGGGAGACUGGAAUUCCUGGUGUAGCGGUGAAAUGCGCAGAUAUCAGGAGGAACACCGGUGGCGAAGGCGGGUCUCUGGGCCGUAACUGACGCUGAGGAGCGAAAGCGUGGGGAGCGAACAGG